GAUGAACGCUGGCGGCGUGCCUAACACAUGCAAGUCGAACGGACGUACGAUAUGCUUGGUUUUCUGAUUUUAGAGGGGGACAGGUGGGUGUAACGUGGAUAACCUACCUAUAAGGCUGGGGUAACUUCGGGGAACCGGAGCUGAUACCGGCUAAUGCUGUGAACCGGAUGGUUCGUGAGUGAAAGACGUUCUUGCUGUGGCUUUUAGGUGGAUUUGUGCUGCAGUAGCUAGUUGGUAAGGUAACGGCGUACCAAGGCAACGAUGCGUAGCCGACCUGAGAGGGUGAUCGGCCACACUGGAACUGAGACACGGUCCAGACUCCUACGGGAGGCAGCAGUAGGGAAUCUUGCGCAAUGGGCGAAAGCCUGACCGAGCAACGCCGCGUGAGUGAUGAAGGUCUUCGGAUCGUAAAACUCUGUUAUUAGGGAAGAACAUGUGUGUAAGUAACUGUGCAGUUCUUGACGGUACCGAAUCAAAAAGCCACGGCUAACUACGUG
Molecule: ribosomal RNA, 497 nt
Filed under: uncultured bacterium
Lineage: Bacteria
Description: partial 16S ribosomal RNA
Rfam family: Bacterial small subunit ribosomal RNA
Source: RNAcentral